UACGGAGGAUCCAAGCGUUAUCCGGAUUUAUUGGGUUUAAAGGGUGCGUAGGCGGCUUAUUAAGUCAGGGGUGAAAUACGGUGGCUCAACCAUCGCAGUGCCCUUGAUACUGAUGAGCUUGAAUACACUUGAGGUAGGCGGAAUGUGACAAGUAGCGGUGAAAUGCAUAGAUAUGUCACAGAACACCAAUUGCGAAGGCAGCUUACUAAGGUGCAAUUGACGCUGAGGCACGAAAGCGUGGGGAUCAAACAGG
Molecule: ribosomal RNA, 253 nt
Filed under: uncultured bacterium
Lineage: Bacteria
Description: partial 16S ribosomal RNA
Rfam family: Bacterial small subunit ribosomal RNA
Source: RNAcentral